UACGUAGGGUGCAAGCGUUAAUCGGAAUUACUGGGCGUAAAGCGUGCGCAGGCGGUUAUGUAAGACAGUUGUGAAAUCCCCGGGCUUAACCUGGGAACUGCAUUUGUGACUGCACAGCUGGAGUGCGGCAGAGGGGGAUGGAAUUCCGCGUGUAGCAGUGAAAUGCGUAGAUAUGCGGAGGAACACCGAUGGCGAAGGCAAUCCCCUGGGCCUGCACUGACGCUCAUGCACGAAAGCGUGGGGAGCAAACAGG
This 253-nucleotide ribosomal RNA is filed under the name uncultured bacterium. RNAcentral describes it as "partial 16S ribosomal RNA". It matches the Rfam family "Bacterial small subunit ribosomal RNA", at positions 524 to 776 of the family's 1533-position model. The record is from RNAcentral.